Molecule: long non-coding RNA, 238 nt
Filed under: Zea mays
Lineage: Eukaryota; Viridiplantae; Streptophyta; Magnoliopsida; Poales; Poaceae
Description: long non-coding RNA NONZMAT000557
Source: RNAcentral
UGUUUCUAACAUUAUUGGCAUUAGCCCAAGGAAUGUGAUUUUCAGCAGAAAGCUCCCAUUACUUCCUGUUUGAUAUUUAAACGUGUCAAAUGUCAGGUGUUUUGAGAACAAGUUUCUGUUCAGUUAUAUUUCUAUGAUCCAUAUAGAUUCUUUGCUUGUAACUACUAGAAUACAGUCUAGAUCCUUUGUUCUGUCAGAUGAAUACUAGCGUUCACUACUCAACUCAACGCAUACCCUC